GACAAUGAGUUGCGGGCUACGGAUGACACUUGAUCUUGAUUAUAGCAUCAAGGCAUGAGGCAUUGAUUCCAAGACAUGGCAUAAACGGAUGGGCAAAGACAAGCAAAUGUGCAAACGGAAAGGCAAUGUGCGGACAGAUUUGGCGUGGGUUCGAGUUGCGGCAAAUGGGCCAAGUUCGUGGGCAAUGUUAAGGCAAAUUGGGGCACAAUGCAGCUGGAUAUAAUGGCAUUGGCGCAUGGUCCAAGCCAACACACGAAAUUGGGCAGCAACAUGAGAAUGGACCAAGUCAAACGGCGGUUACCGGCACAUGCUGUGCACAUGGGCAGCGGUUGAGCUUUGUCUAUCAUGCUGGCAGGGAGUUGGCACGAAUUGAGGCCAUGAUCCCAUGAUCUAAACAUGUUCCUAGUAGUUAGGGGUGUCAACUACACUUAGGAUAAAGUAGUGGGCAAGUGUAAGCCUAAAAACUAGGCAACUAUUGUGUAAUGAGGCUGUUUUCAUGUGUUAUAAAUGGGCAGCACCCUUCUCUUUUGUGACUUAAGGAGAAAAACGUGAGAGAGUUCACAAUAGAGUGGAAAACGUGACGAGGGCAUGUUUUAUGACUUAGGAAGAGUCCUAAGUCCUAAGAUAGAGAAAAACGUGUGGGAGCACACUUAAAGACUGAAAACGUGUAGAGUGCAUGUUUUCUGAUUUAGGAAGAGUCCUAAGUCUUGUUAUCAAGAGUGAAAACAGUAAGGCUAAGAGUAGUCUUGUGAGGGUCAAGAGUGAUCUUCAUUUUUGUACGCUGAGUAUACUUUGAGUUUGAGUUUUCUUUGUAUUCUCGAGUUAAAUACAAAGUUGGGAAAGAGUUCCUGUAUAUUGUGUGUCUUGUGUUCACGUUUUAUAUCUGUCGCUUCACUAUAUUUUCGUUGCCUAAAUCAGUCUAAAGUUUACUACGUUGAAAGACUGCUAAAAUUAAUCAAAGUCCAAAGUUGUUGAAAUUUUGGCCGAGUGUUGGAGCAGGCUGAAGUCAAGCCGGUACUUGGCUGCCGCGCGGGCUGUUUUAGAGUGACACAAAACGAGCCCGUGACAAUUGGUAUCAGAGCCAGGUUGAGAGCUGAUCAGGUUUGUGGCGGAGACGCGACGGGUGAUGGCAGAUCUCGUGGUCUUGUUCGAGAACAUGGCCGGUGGUAACAAUGAACUGCGAGAAAGGCUAACGAAACUGGAAACAUUGGAGGGAAAUGUUGUUGAUGGCAAAGAACUUAAGCCUCUUAUGAGUAGACUUGCAUUUCUUGAGGCAGAAAUGGCAAGGAAGCGAGUGAACACAGAUGUGAAGACACGUUGCCAAGACAUGGCAGAAAUGGAUGGGCAAAGACAAGCAAAUGUGCAAACGGAAAGGCAAUAUGCGGGCAGAUUUGGCGUGGGUUCGAGUUGCGGCAAACGGGCCAAGUUCGUGAGCAAUGUUAAGGCAAAUCGGGGCACAAUGCAGCUGGAUAUAAUGGCAUUGGCGCAUGGUCCAAGCCAACACACGAAAUUGGGCAGCAACUUGAGAAUGGACCAAGUCAAACGGCGGUUACCGGCACAUACUGUGCACAUGGGCAGCGGUUGAGCUUUGUCUAUCAUGCUAGCAGGAGUUAGCACGAAUUGAGGCCAUGAUCCUAUGAUCUAAACAUGUUCCUAGUAGUUGGGGGUGUCAACUACACUUAGGAUAAA
Molecule: long non-coding RNA, 1689 nt
Filed under: Nicotiana benthamiana
Lineage: Eukaryota; Viridiplantae; Streptophyta; Magnoliopsida; Solanales; Solanaceae
Description: long non-coding RNA (NBEN_LNC026675)
Source: RNAcentral